This is a long non-coding RNA of Rhea pennata, 498 nucleotides long. RefSeq lists it as uncharacterized. The record is from RefSeq and is a predicted model, not a curated record. The transcript has 4 exons. Lineage: Eukaryota; Metazoa; Chordata; Aves; Rheiformes; Rheidae.
CGAGCUCGGAGCUGAGUGGAAGCGGCCAAGCUCCCCGGGCCGGGCCCGCCGUCAGCACGUCACGUCACUGCCCGAGAGAGACCCAGGAAAAUGCGGAAGGGAGCGCGCCGCCGCCGCUGCCCGCCGCCUCGGGACAACCGCCCGCCGCGGCCGGGGCCGCUGCAGGGCCGGGGGCGGCUGCCAGGCCGGCCGAGGCGGCGCGGAAUAAUCAGUGUUGGCCCAUGGAAGAGCAACUUAAAGUGUUUGAGGCAUCAAAAAAAAUUAUGUACCUGCAUAACUGCAUGGAGGAGUAGAUGCUUAGCAAGUACAGCUGUCCUGAGUAACACUGCGAAAUUUCUGAAGCCCUAUCUCCUGCAUUGCUAGCAGCCCUAGGUUAGAGAAAUGAGAUGCCAAGCAAUUUUUCCACCUGGACAAACCCGUCAACUACUGAUGAGUGAUCAUUUGGAGUUAAAUCAAGGUUACUUCAUUUUACAGUAAAAAUAUUCUGAGCCCAUUGAA